UACGAAGGGGGCUAGCGUUGUUCGGAAUCACUGGGCGUAAAGGGCGCGUAGGCGGCCCUCUUAGUCGCGUGUGAAAGCCCCGGGCUCAACCUGGGAACGGCGCGCGAAACGGGAGGGCUGGAGUUCGGGAGAGGAGAGUGGAAUUCCCAGUGUAGAGGUGAAAUUCGUAGAUAUUGGGAAGAACACCGGUGGCGAAGGCGGGUCUCUGGGCCGUAACUGACGCUGAGGAGCGAAAGCGUGGGGAGCGAACAGG
RNAcentral lists this ribosomal RNA (253 nucleotides) under uncultured bacterium. RNAcentral describes it as "partial 16S ribosomal RNA". It matches the Rfam family "Bacterial small subunit ribosomal RNA", at positions 524 to 776 of the family's 1533-position model. The record is from RNAcentral.